RNAcentral lists this long non-coding RNA (201 nucleotides) under Elaeis guineensis (African oil palm). RNAcentral describes it as "long non-coding RNA (EGUI_LNC029553)". Lineage: Eukaryota; Viridiplantae; Streptophyta; Magnoliopsida; Arecales; Arecaceae. The record is from RNAcentral.
CAAACUUCUAGGUCUUAUCCUAGUGUACCUAUGUCUUUCUCCUUGUCUCUAAAUACAAUUCUAAACAUUAACUAUUGUAACCUAUGUUCCUCGAUUUCCUUAAGCGGGUGUUUUGUUUCAUACAACUAACUUGGUCGUACUACUAGAUCAUAACCAGUCCUUCAUACUUCGAAUGUCACUCUACAUUGUCAUGUCACUAUA